CGGACGGGUGAGUAAUGCUUGGGAAUCUGGCUUAUGGAGGGGGAUAACUACGGGAAACUGUAGCUAAUACCGCGUAAUAUCUUCGGAUUAAAGGGUGGGACUUUCGGGCCACCUGCCAUAAGAUGAGCCCAAGUGGGAUUAGGUAGUUGGUGGGGUAAAGGCCUACCAAGCCGACGAUCUCUAGCUGGUCUGAGAGGAUGACCAGCCACACUGGAACUGAGACACGGUCCAGACUCCUACGGGAGGCAGCAGUGGGGAAUAUUGCACAAUGGGGGGAACCCUGAUGCAGCCAUGCCGCGUGAAUGAAGAAGGCCUUCGGGUUGUAAAGUUCUUUCGGUGAUGAGGAAGGUGUUUGUUUUAAUAGAGCAAGCAAUUGACGUUAGUCACAGAAGAAGCACCGGCUAACUCCGUGCCAGCAGCCGCGGUAAUACGGAGGGUGCGAGCGUUAAUCGGAAUGACUGGGCGUAAAGGGCACGCAGGCGGUGACUUAAGUGAGAUGUGAAAGCCCCGAGCUUAACUUGGGAAUUGCAUUUCAUACUGGGUCGCUAGAGUACUUUAGGGAGGGGUAGAAUUCCACGUGUAGCGGUGAAAUGCGUAGAGAUGUGGAGGAAUACCGAAGGCGAAGGCAGCCCCUUGGGAAUGUACUGACGCUCAUGUGCGAAAGCGUGGGGAGCAAACAGGAUUAGAUACCCUGGUAGUCCACGCUGUAAACGCUGUCGAUUUGGGGAUUGGGCUUUAAGCUUGGUGCCCGUAGCUAACGUGAUAAAU
RNAcentral lists this ribosomal RNA (768 nucleotides) under uncultured Actinobacillus sp. RNAcentral describes it as "bacterial SSU rRNA". It matches the Rfam family "Bacterial small subunit ribosomal RNA", at positions 99 to 865 of the family's 1533-position model. Lineage: Bacteria; Pseudomonadati; Pseudomonadota; Gammaproteobacteria; Pasteurellales; Pasteurellaceae. The record is from RNAcentral.